Ictalurus punctatus (channel catfish) is the source of this 1115-nucleotide long non-coding RNA. The record is from Ensembl. NCBI's taxonomy places the organism in Eukaryota, Metazoa, Chordata, Actinopteri, Siluriformes, Ictaluridae.
GAGAGAGAGAGAGAGAGAGCGAGUGAAGAGAGAAGAGAGAGAGAGAGAGAGAGAGAGAGAGAGCGAGCGCAUCACCCUCACACAGCUGCCAGCAUUCUUAUGCAAACGUCAGUGCAUUCUUCCUCGGACAACAGGACAGGACACAAUGAGCAAAAAACCCAACAGCUUCCUUCAAGCUGAAGAAGUUGACAGCUUACAGGCCAGGAGUCUAAAACGAAGACUUUAAUGAGGACCAACGGUUUAGACACUCGGUGGAAACGACUAAAUGAACCGAGUGUCACACAAACGUCUCCACGCCAUAUCUCAUAUCUCCUGAUCUGGACCAAGCCGUGAGAACUGGGGACCGAGCGCUGUCUGAAGACCUCCACCUGCCUGAGGCUCUCACUAGUGAGGGAAAGAUGAAGCAAGCGCCACCUGCGUGACUCGAACUUUUAACUACUCAAAAAGUAUUCCUUUAAACCUAGAACAAACCUCCUUCUUUCAAGUUUCUCCUAAACCCACGCACACACACACACACACACACACACACACACACACACAAUGCUUGCUGUGUUUGUUUUCUUCACUUAGUUCCAGUACAGACUUUACAGUACUCCCAAUUUUCCUAGCUCUGCUAUUUUGCUUUGGUUCCUUUCUUUAAGAACUCUUCAGGACAUGAACUAUGCUGGACCAAGAGCCAAUCGUAGGAAAAGAUCUUUAACCUCCACCAAGCGGCAACCUAGAUAUCGAGCAUUAAUCACUGCCCUGUGUACUUAUCUUUCACAUACACCUCACAUGAGAAUGAAUAGUGUACAUAUAAUAAUAAUGACCUCUAUCUGAUCAGAAGACAGGUAUACAAUUCGUUCGCCUCGCACCUCCAGGGUCGGGGGUUCGAUUCCCGUCUCUGUCCUGUGUGUGUGGAGUUUGCAUGUUCUCCCCGUGCUGCGGGGGUUUCCUCCGGGUACUCCGGUUUCCUCCCCCAGUCCAAACACAUGCAUGGUAGGCUGAUUGGCGUGUCUAAAGUGUCCGUAGUGUAUGAGUGUGUGUGUGAUUGUGCCCUGCGAUGGAUAGGCACCCUGUCCAGGCUGUACCCCACCUUGUGCCCCAUGCCCCCUGGGAUAGGCUCCAGGUUCCCC